GACAGAGGUGCCGAGCGUUAGGCGGAAUCACUGGGCUUAAAGCGUGUGUAGGCGGAUUGGUAAGUACCUUGUGAAAUCCCACGGCUUAACCGUGGAACUGCUUGGUAUACUGCUUAUCUUGGGCCACUUAGGGGCUACCGGAACAAACGGUGGAGCGGUGAAAUGCGUAGAUAUCGUUUGGAACGCCAAUGGUGAAAACAGGUAGCUGGGAGUGUGCCGACGCUGAGACACGAAAGCCAGGGGAGCGAACAGG
RNAcentral lists this ribosomal RNA (253 nucleotides) under uncultured bacterium. RNAcentral's name for it is "partial 16S ribosomal RNA". It matches the Rfam family "Bacterial small subunit ribosomal RNA", at positions 524 to 776 of the family's 1533-position model. The record is from RNAcentral.